CCGCUCCUGCGGAGCCCGGGGAACCGGGCCGGGUCGCGGCCCCGGCGCGGCCGUUCGGGGCGGCAGGGGCCGCCC
Molecule: transfer RNA, 75 nt
Filed under: Streptomyces spororaveus
Lineage: Bacteria; Bacillati; Actinomycetota; Actinomycetes; Kitasatosporales; Streptomycetaceae
Description: tRNA-Arg
Source: RNAcentral